UAUCUCUGUAGAGUCUGCAUAUCAAUAAGCGGAGGAAAAGAAACUAACAAGGAUUCCCCUAGUAACGGCGAGUGAAGCGGGAAGAGCUCAAAUUUGAAAUCUUAAAGGGUUUCCCUUUACGAAUUGUAGUUUAAAGAAGUGUUUUCUGUUGAGGUUUUGGUAAAAGUUCUUUGGAAUAGGACAUCAUAGAGGGUGAGAAUCCCGUAUUUGACCAUUACUUUCCAACUUUGUGAUACACUUUCAAAGAGUCGGAUCGUUUGGGAAUGCAGUCCAAAAUGGGUGGUAAAUUUCAUCUAAAGCUAAAUACUGGCGAGAGACCGAUAGCGAACAAGUACCGUGAGGGAAAGAUGAAAAGAACUUUGAAAAGAGAGUUAAACAGUACGUGAAAUUGUCAAAAGGGAAGCGUUUGACACCAGUGUUGUUUUUCUGAAAAUCAAUUAAAGAACUGUUUAUGCUAAGCUUGUUUAGACUUUAUCAGCUAAUCUGUUUAGUUUUGAGCUUUUCUUUAAUGCACUUUUCAGUUAACAAGUCAACAUCAAUUUCUUUUGCUGUAAAAAAGCUUGAGGAAGGUGGCUUGAGAUUCGUCUUAAGUGUUUAUAGCCUCUUGCCUAUGCAGUCGGAGAGAUUGAGGUCUGCAGCGUAGAUCCUUCGGGGCUAAAUGCAUUUGUGCUAAGUUAUAGCAUUUUAUAGACAACUUGUUGACUAUGAUUUGUCUUGUAGCUUACUCGCUUAUGUUAUUUUACCUACGCUUAGGAUGUUACGAUCAGCUGAGCGCG
RNAcentral lists this ribosomal RNA (776 nucleotides) under uncultured Neocallimastigales. RNAcentral describes it as "partial large subunit ribosomal RNA". It matches the Rfam family "Eukaryotic large subunit ribosomal RNA", at positions 24 to 633 of the family's 3401-position model. The record is from RNAcentral. Lineage: Eukaryota; Fungi; Neocallimastigomycota; Neocallimastigomycetes; Neocallimastigales.